GUUGAACGCUGGCGGCGUGCCUAACACAUGCAAGUCGAACGGGAAAUAUUUCAUUGCGACUGCGGUGGAUUGGAGAUAGUUGUAGAGGCGGACGGGAGAGUAACGCGUGGGUAACAUGACGUCUACAGGGGGGUAACAGUCAGAAAUGGCUGCUGAUAGCGCAUAAGCGCACAGAGCUGCAUGGCUGAGUGCGGAAAACUCUGGUGGUAUAAGACGGACGCGCGUUGGAUACGCUAGUUGGUGGGGUAACGGCCCACCAAGGCGACGAUCCAUAGCCGGCCUGAGAGGGUGGGCCGCCACACUGGGACUGAGACACGGUCCAGACUCCUACGGGAGGCAGCAGUGGGUAAUACUGCACAAUGGGGGGUACCCUGAUGCAGCGACGACGGGUGAAGGAUGAAGUAUGGCGGUAUGUAAAGUUCUAUCAGCAGGGACGAUAGUGACGGUACCAGCAGAAUAAGCCCCGGCUAACUACGUG
This 478-nucleotide ribosomal RNA is filed under the name uncultured bacterium. Its description in RNAcentral is "partial 16S ribosomal RNA". It matches the Rfam family "Bacterial small subunit ribosomal RNA", at positions 28 to 507 of the family's 1533-position model. The record is from RNAcentral.